UUCCCGAAUCUAGAAGAGUUAUUUAUUUUAUUGUAAUAAAUACUUAUAAUAUGUAAUGAAACGUUGAUAUAUCUGGUUUUUUUAGAAAAUUUAAUUUUUUCAUCUUCCUGGGGAUAAGCUCGGGAUAGGAUUAGAAGUUUUGUUAUAGUUAAUUUAUGAAAGUUUGAGUUUUAAUUUUUUAAGUAAUAAUGAUGGAAUUAGUAUAAGGUUAGCUAAAGGAACUCGGCAAAAGUUUUUCACCUGUUUAUUAAAAACAUGGCCUUUUGAAUAUGAUUUAAGGUCGGACCUGCCCCCUGAGGCCGCGGUAAUCUGACCGUGCAAAGGUAGCAUAAUCAUUAGUUUUUUAAUUGAAAGCUGGAAUGAAUGGUAUAAUGAAAAAGACGCUGUCUCUAGUUAAUAGAAUUUUAUUUUUAAGUUAAAAAGCUUAAAUUUUAAUUAAAGACGAGAAGACCCUAUAGAGUUUUAUUUUGGUUGGGGCGAUUGAAAGAUUAAUUUAACUUUUGAUUAUAAGAUUAAAUUACCUUAGGGAUAACAGCGUAAUUUUUCUUGAAGUUCUUAUUUAAAGAAGUGAUUGCGACCUCGAUGUUGGAUUAAGGCAGGUUUUGGUGCAGAAGCU
RNAcentral lists this ribosomal RNA (616 nucleotides) under Merionoeda baoshana. RNAcentral's name for it is "partial large subunit ribosomal RNA". The stretch from base 201 to 428 matches the Rfam family "Archaeal large subunit ribosomal RNA", at positions 1785 to 2143 of the family's 2987-position model. The record is from RNAcentral. Lineage: Eukaryota; Metazoa; Arthropoda; Insecta; Coleoptera; Cerambycidae.